CAUGCAAGUCGAACGGAAAGGCCCUUUCGGGGGUACUCGAGUGGCGAACGGGUGAGUAACACGUGGGUGAUCUGCCCUGCACUUUGGGAUAAGCCUGGGAAACUGGGUCUAAUACCGGAUAUACCUCAUGGGCUGCAUGGUUUGUGAGGGAAAGCUUUUGCGGUGUGGGAUGGGCCCGCGGCCUAUCAGCUUGUUGGUGGGGUGAUGGCCUACCAAGGCGACGACGGGUAGCCGGCCUGAGAGGGUGACCGGCCACACUGGGACUGAGAUACGGCCCAGACUCCUACGGGAGGCAGCAGUGGGGAAUAUUGCACAAUGGGCGCAAGCCUGAUGCAGCGACGCCGCGUGAGGGAUGACGGCCUUCGGGUUGUAAACCUCUUUCAGCAGGGACGAAGCGCAAGUGACGGUACCUGUAGAAGAAGGACCGGCCAACUACGUGCCAGCAGCCGCGGUAAUACGUAGGGUCCGAGCGUUGUCCGGAAUUACUGGGCGUAAAGAGCUCGUAGGUGGUUUGUCGCGUUGUUCGUGAAAACUUCACA
This 539-nucleotide ribosomal RNA is filed under the name uncultured Mycobacterium sp. RNAcentral's name for it is "bacterial SSU rRNA". It matches the Rfam family "Bacterial small subunit ribosomal RNA", at positions 54 to 607 of the family's 1533-position model. Lineage: Bacteria; Bacillati; Actinomycetota; Actinomycetes; Mycobacteriales; Mycobacteriaceae. The record is from RNAcentral.